UACGGAGGGUGCAAGCGUUGUCCGGAAUCACUGGGCGUAAAGGGCGCGUAGGCGGCUCAUGAAGGCUGUGGUGAAAGUCCGGGGCUCAACCUCGGAUCGGCCGUGGCGACUCGUGGGCUGGAGCACUGUAGAGGCGGGUGGAAUUCCGGGUGUAGCGGUGGAAUGCGUAGAGAUCCGGAAGAACACCAGUGGCGAAGGCGGCCCGCUGGGCAGUGGCCGACGCUGAGGCGCGACAGCGUGGGGAGCAAACAGG
RNAcentral lists this ribosomal RNA (253 nucleotides) under uncultured bacterium. Its description in RNAcentral is "partial 16S ribosomal RNA". It matches the Rfam family "Bacterial small subunit ribosomal RNA", at positions 524 to 776 of the family's 1533-position model. The record is from RNAcentral.